This 497-nucleotide ribosomal RNA is filed under the name uncultured bacterium. Its description in RNAcentral is "partial 16S ribosomal RNA". It matches the Rfam family "Bacterial small subunit ribosomal RNA", at positions 28 to 507 of the family's 1533-position model. The record is from RNAcentral.
GACGAACGCUGGCGGCGUGCCUAAUACAUGCAAGUUGAGCGCUGAAGGUUGGUACUUGUACCAACUGGAUGAGCAGCGAACGGGUGAGUAACGCGUGGGGAAUCUGCCUUUGAGCGGGGGACAACAUUUGGAAACGAAUGCUAAUACCGCAUAAAAACUUUAAACACAAGUUUUAAGUUUGAAAGAUGCAAUUGCAUCACUCAAAGAUGAUCCCGCGUUGUAUUAGCUAGUUGGUGAGGUAAAGGCUCACCAAGGCGAUGAUACAUAGCCGACCUGAGAGGGUGAUCGGCCACAUUGGGACUGAGACACGGCCCAAACUCCUACGGGAGGCAGCAGUAGGGAAUCUUCGGCAAUGGACGAAAGUCUGACCGAGCAACGCCGCGUGAGUGAAGAAGGUUUUCGGAUCGUAAAACUCCGUUGGUAGAGAAGAACGUUGGUGGGAGUGGAAAGCUCAUCAAGUGACGGUAACUACCCAGAAAGGGACGGCUAACUACGUG